GGGGAAUUUUCCGCAAUGGGCGAAAGCCUGACGGAGCAAUACCGCGUGAGGGAGGAAGGCUCUUGGGUCGUAAACCUCUUUUCUCAGGGAAGAACACAAUGACGGUACCUGAGGAAUAAGCAUCGGCUAACUCCGUGCCAGCAGCCGCGGUAAUACGGAGGAUGCAAGCGUUAUCCGGAAUGAUUGGGCGUAAAGCGUCCGCAGGUGGCUAUGUAAGUCUGCUGUUAAAGAAUCUAGCUUAACUAGAUAAGAGCAGUGGAAACUACAAGGCUAGAGUACGUUCGGGGCAGAGGGAAUUCCUGGUGUAGCGGUGAAAUGCGUAGAGAUCAGGAAGAACACCGGUGGCGAAGGCGCUCUGCUAGGCCGUAACUGACACUGAGGGACGAAAGCUAGGGGAGCGAAUGGGAUUAGAUACCCCAGUAGUCCUAGCCGUAAACGAUGGAUACUAGGCGUGGCUUGUAUCGACCCGAGCCGUGCCGUAGCUAACGCGUUAAGUAUCCCGCCUGGGGAGUACGCCGGCAACGGUGAAACUCAAAGGAAUUGACGGGGGCCCGCACAAGCGGUGGAGUAUGUGGUUUAAUUCGAUGCAACGCGAAGAACCUUACCAAGGCUUGACAUGUCGCGAAUCCUGGUGAAAGCUGGGAGUGCCUUCGGGAGCGCGAACACAGGUGGUGCAUGGCUGUCGUCAGCUCGUGUCGUGAGAUGUUGGGUUAAGUCCCGCAACGAGCGCAACCCUCGUUUUUAGUUGCCAGCAUUAAGUUGGGCACUCUAGAGAGACUGCCGGUGACAAACCGGAGGAAGGUGGGGAUGACGUCAAGUCAGCAUGCCCCUUACGCCUUGGGCUACACACGUACUACAAUGCUCCGGACAGAGGGCAGCAAGCAUGCGAAUGCAAGCAAAUCCCGUAAACCGGAGCUCAGUUCAGAUCGCAGGCUGCAACUCGCCUGCGUGAAGGAGGAAUCGCUAGUAAUUGCAGGUCAGCAUACUGCAGUGAAUUCGUUCCCGGGCCUUGUACACACCGCCCGUCACACCAUGGAAGCUGGUAGUGCCCGAAGUCAUUACUCCAACCUUUCGGGGAGGAGGAUGCCUAAGGCAGGACUGGUGACUGGGGUGAAGUCGUAACAAGGUAGCCGUACCGGAAGGUGUGGCUGGAUCACCUCCUU
Molecule: ribosomal RNA, 1163 nt
Filed under: Nostoc sp. ATA1-2-CV8
Lineage: Bacteria; Bacillati; Cyanobacteriota; Cyanophyceae; Nostocales; Nostocaceae
Description: bacterial SSU rRNA
Rfam family: Bacterial small subunit ribosomal RNA
Source: RNAcentral